CUCCCUGGGCAUUUAUUUUUUAGCAUUUACUGUAGUAAAUUCAACCUGGUUAGCAACAAGUACAGUUUUCUAUAGAGUUAGUCCAAACAGUAACUGCUUGCAUAUAUAUGGCAUAGUUUUUCAUGGGAUACUUAAAAACAGUUCCAUCAGACUUUAUUUCCAUGUUGGCAUGUAGUUGAGGUGAGGUAAUUAUCUAUUUAUGGGUUUGUUUUCUUCUGUAUGUUAAUUGAUUCUGAGUAUUUCAGUUCUGUUUUAUGCUUUUGCCUGGUUUUACAUUUCUUAUUAUUUAACUCAAUAGCUUUGUAAAGAAAAUACAAGUAAUACAAAUACUUGUAAAGGAAAGUAUUCUCCCAUCUUCUGAAUGAGAAUAUGUAAGCUGCCAUGCUGUGAAAGGUCCUGUGAAGAAGGGCAUCAAAAUGUGAGUAGCCUCCAGGAUCUGAGAACCAGAUGA
Molecule: long non-coding RNA, 451 nt
Filed under: Capra hircus (goat)
Lineage: Eukaryota; Metazoa; Chordata; Mammalia; Artiodactyla; Bovidae
Description: lncRNA (ENSCHIG00010002292.1)
Source: RNAcentral